Molecule: ribosomal RNA, 542 nt
Filed under: uncultured cyanobacterium
Lineage: Bacteria; Bacillati; Cyanobacteriota
Description: bacterial SSU rRNA
Rfam family: Bacterial small subunit ribosomal RNA
Source: RNAcentral
UAGUGGCGGACGGGUGAGUAACGCGUAAGAAUCUGCCCACAGGACGGGGACAACAACUGGAAACGGUUGCUAAUACCCGAUGUGCCGAGAGGUGAAAUCUAAUUGGCCUGUGGAAGAGCUUGCGUCUGAUUAGCUAGUUGGUAGUGUAAGAGACAACCAAGGCGACGAUCAGUAGCUGGUCUGAGAGGAUGAGCAGCCACACUGGGACUGAGACACGGCCCAGACUCCUACGGGAGGCAGCAGUGGGGAAUUUUCCGCAAUGGGCGAAAGCCUGACGGAGCAACGCCGCGUGAGGGAGGAAGGUCCUUGGAUUGUAAACCUCUUUUCUCAAGGAAGAAAAAAAUGACGGUACUUGAGGAAUAAGCAUCGGCUAACUUCGUGCCAGCAGCCGCGGUAAUACGAGGGAUGCAAGCGUUAUCCGGAAUUAUUGGGCGUAAAGCGUCCGCAGGUGGCCUUCCAAGUCUGCCGUUAAAGAGUGGAGCUUAACUCCAUAAAGGCGGUGGAAACUGGAAAGCUAGAGAGCAGUAGGGGGUAGCGGAAUU